This 464-nucleotide ribosomal RNA is filed under the name Vreelandella stevensii. Its description in RNAcentral is "partial 16S ribosomal RNA". It matches the Rfam family "Bacterial small subunit ribosomal RNA", at positions 338 to 795 of the family's 1533-position model. Lineage: Bacteria; Pseudomonadati; Pseudomonadota; Gammaproteobacteria; Oceanospirillales; Halomonadaceae. The record is from RNAcentral.
CCUACGGGUGCAGCAGUGGGGAAUAUUGGACAAUGGGCGAAAGCCUGAUCCAGCCAUGCCGCGUGUGUGAAGAAGGCCUUCGGGUUGUAAAGCACUUUCAGUAGGGAAGAAAGCCUUGGGGCUAAUACCCUCGAGGAAGGACAUCACCCACAGAAGAAGCACCGGCUAACUCCGUGCCAGCAGCCGCGGUAAUACGGAGGGUGCGAGCGUUAAUCGGAAUUACUGGGCGUAAAGCGCGCGUAGGCGGUCUGAUAAGCCGGUUGUGAAAGCCCCGGGCUCAACCUGGGAACGGCAUCCGGAACUGUCAGGCUAGAGUGCAGGAGAGGAAGGUAGAAUUCCCGGUGUAGCGGUGAAAUGCGUAGAGAUCGGGAGGAAUACCAGUGGCGAAGGCGGCCUUCUGGACUGACACUGACGCUGAGGUGCGAAAGCGUGGGUAGCAAACAGGAUUAGAUACCCCGGUAGUC